Molecule: ribosomal RNA, 232 nt
Filed under: uncultured prokaryote
Description: partial 16S ribosomal RNA
Rfam family: Bacterial small subunit ribosomal RNA
Source: RNAcentral
GACAGAGGCCUCAAGCGUUAGGCGGAAUCACUGGGCUUAAAGCGUGUGUAGGCGGGUCGUUAAGUACCUUGUGAAAUCCCACGGCUCACCCGUGGAACUGCUGGGUAUACUGGCGAUCUUGGGCCAUUUAGGGGCAACUGGAACAAGCGGUGGAGCGGUGAAAUGCGUAGAUAUCGCUUGGAACGCCAAAGGUGAAAACAGGCAACUGGGGCUGUACCGACGCUGAGACACG